CUGUUGCGUGCUUCUUAAUGUUCAAUAGGCUAUUUUGCCAUUCUCCUAUUUCUUUUUCUUUCUUCUCUAGCGAGGCCAUUAACUGACAAAUUUUAGAGUUUUCUUUUUCUUCGAGCUCGUUGAGUUGUUUCAUUAAAUCUUCUUGUAGUUUGUCGAGAUGGUUGUUGAUUUGUAUUCUGGACUUCUUGAUUUCUUUUUCAAUU
Molecule: long non-coding RNA, 203 nt
Filed under: Mytilus galloprovincialis (Mediterranean mussel)
Lineage: Eukaryota; Metazoa; Mollusca; Bivalvia; Mytilida; Mytilidae
Source: RNAcentral